AUUGAACGCUGGCGGCAGGCUUAACACAUGCAAGUCGAGCGGUAACAGAGAGAAGCUUGCUUCUCUGCUGACGAGCGGCGGACGGGUGAGUAAUGCCUAGGAAUCUGCCUAGUAGUGAGGAUAACUUGCCGAAAGGUAAGCUAAUACCGCAUACGUCCUACGGGAGAAAGGAGGGGACCUUCGGGCCUUUCGCUCUUAGAUGAGCCUAGGUCGGAUUAGUUAGUUGGUGAGGUAAUAGCUCACCAAGACCGCGAUCCGUAACUGGUCUGAGAGGAUGAUCAGUCACACUGGAACUGAGACACGGUCCAGACUCCUACGGGAGGCAGCAGUGGGGAAUAUUGGACAAUGGGGGGAACCCUGAUCCAGCCAUGCCGCGUGUGUGAAGAAGGUCUUAGGAUUGUAAAGCACUUUAAGUUGGGAGGAAGAGCAGUUAACUAAUAUUUGACUGUUUUGACGUUACCGACAGAAUAAGCACCGGCUAACUUCGUGCCAGCAGCCGCCGUAA
RNAcentral lists this ribosomal RNA (505 nucleotides) under uncultured bacterium. RNAcentral's name for it is "partial 16S ribosomal RNA". It matches the Rfam family "Bacterial small subunit ribosomal RNA", at positions 30 to 523 of the family's 1533-position model. The record is from RNAcentral.